UAAGGAUUAGUACUUUAAUAUAUUAAGGGAGGGAGGCAAAAUUCAGUCCAUAACAUUAAAAAUGUAAAAAUGUUUCCGGUGACACAUACUAUCUUUUGGCUUCCAAAGAUCCUACAGCUUCAAAUUUUCUUGAAUCUUCUGAGUCACAAGAACCACCAGGAGUAAUUACAGCCCUAAUUCCAGUUAGGAAAGUUGCAAUGGCUGUAGAAGAUGGCGAGUGCUGUGGACUUCAAAGAAAAGAUUUCUGAAGUGUCACGACAAUUAUGAUGCUUCAAAUUAUGUUGACUAUUCAUUUAUAGCAUAAAGAAGAGUGAGCCACUUUAUCACUGCAGUAAUUAUAUUUUAAAAAUGAAGAAAAUAAAACAAAUGGAGUUUCCCACCCAAUCCAUGGAGACACAGACACGAAGUCUUACCAUAGAUGUGUGGCCAAUCCUUACAUCGCUUUUAUUACAAGCCUGGAAAUGACAAUAAAAUAUAUGAACUUGAGAGUAUAUAAAGGCUCAUCCAAGAUACAUUGGUUGUUUGCUUAACCAUCGUUUUCGCAUGCGCCAUCUGUCAAAGUCUGGAAGAAACCUAAGAUGUGUUGCAUUAAAUUUGAAGAUUCCUCCUGUUCAGAAGCCAGAAACAAACAAAAUCAAUAAGUACUCAUUAAUUAAGAAAACAGAGCAUUAUGAUGAAAUCAUACACAUGGAAAAUUUACCAACAAUAAAAACAACAACAAACACCAUGACAUUCUCCUUUACAAACAGUAUAAACCCCAAGGAAGAGUGAUUUCUCUAUGAUCUAGAAUAGGAACAUAACUGAAAACAAAGAUUUUAAAUAAGAGAUAAGAAUGAAACAUUGAAAAAUCCAUCUGAAGAAAGCCUGAAAAAAUCACCCCACUUUUAAAAGGAUUUCAUAACUGGAUUCAGUCAAGUUAUAUAAGAAGAAGUCCUAUGAGAAUAGUCAAAGGGUUCCAGUCUGUCUGGGGAAAUAAAUUCAAGCUGUUACAACUUAAUACAUCAAUUGCCAUGAUGGAAGUAUGAAAAAACAAUGCCUGGAUAUACAGAAGCAGGAAGAAUAUUCUCUCUUUUACGAGAUAAGAGAGUUAAAGGUACACAGAGAGAAUUGGGAGGUAGUGAUGGAAAUGACUUCAAAGGAACAGGAAGCAUUAUCAGACAGUCCCCAGGAGGAAAAGAGAUAUCUGUCUCCUUUCACAUUUUAUCUCUUUCCCCAAACUCAGUAGUGUUAACAAUUUUUGUUUAAUAAAAAAGAAGGGAAGAAAAGAA
Long non-coding RNA from Symphalangus syndactylus (siamang), 1268 nucleotides. RefSeq lists it as uncharacterized. Lineage: Eukaryota; Metazoa; Chordata; Mammalia; Primates; Hylobatidae. The record is from RefSeq and is a predicted model, not a curated record.